This 292-nucleotide ribosomal RNA is filed under the name uncultured prokaryote. Its description in RNAcentral is "partial 16S ribosomal RNA". It matches the Rfam family "Bacterial small subunit ribosomal RNA", at positions 505 to 796 of the family's 1533-position model. The record is from RNAcentral.
GUGUCAGCCGCCGCGGUAAUACGUAGGGGGCAAGCGUUGUCCGGAAUUAUUGGGCGUAAAGCGCGCGCAGGCGGUCUUUUAAGUCUGAUGUGAAAUCUCGUGGCUUAACCGCGAGCGGCCAUUGGAAACUGGAGGACUUGAGUACAGAAGAGGAGAGUGGAAUUCCACGUGUAGCGGUGAAAUGCGUAGAUAUGUGGAGGAACACCAGUGGCGAAGGCGACUCUCUGGUCUGUAACUGACGCUGAGGCGCGAAAGCGUGGGGAGCGAACAGGAUUAGAUACCCGAGUAGUCC